RNAcentral lists this ribosomal RNA (468 nucleotides) under uncultured bacterium. RNAcentral's name for it is "partial 16S ribosomal RNA". It matches the Rfam family "Bacterial small subunit ribosomal RNA", at positions 28 to 507 of the family's 1533-position model. The record is from RNAcentral.
GACGAACGCUGGCGGCGUGCUUAACACAUGCAAGUCGAACGGAAAGGCCCUGCUUUUGUGGGGUGCUCGAGUGGCGAACGGGUGAGUAACACGUGAGUAACCUGCCCUUGACUUUGGGAUAACUUCAGGAAACUGGGGCUAAUACCGGAUAGGAGCUCCUGCUGCGUGGUGGGGGUUGGAAAGUUUCGGCGGUUGGGGAUGGACUCGCGGCUUAUCAGCUUGUUGGUGGGGUAGUGGCUUACCCAGGCUUUGACGGGUAGCCGGCCUGAGAGGGUGACCGGGGACAUUGGGACUGAGAGACGGAGCAGAGUCGUACGGGAGGCAGCAGUGGGGAAUAUUGCACAAUGGGCGGAAGCCUGAUGCAGCAGCGUCGCGUGCGGGAUGACGGCCUUCGGGUUAUGAACAGCUUUCGCCUGAGACGAAGCGUGUGUGACGGUAAUGGGUAAAGAAGCACCGGCUAACUACGUG